RNAcentral lists this ribosomal RNA (497 nucleotides) under uncultured bacterium. RNAcentral's name for it is "partial 16S ribosomal RNA". It matches the Rfam family "Bacterial small subunit ribosomal RNA", at positions 28 to 507 of the family's 1533-position model. The record is from RNAcentral.
GAUGAACGCUGGCGGCGUGCCUAAUACAUGCAAGUCGAGCGAACAGACGAGGAGCUUGCUCCUUCGACGUUAGCGGCGGACGGGUGAGUAACACGUAGGUAACCUACCUAUAAGACUGGGAUAACUUCGGGAAACCGGAGCUAAUACCGGAUAAUAUUACGAACCGCAUGGUUCGAUAGUGAAAGAUGGCUUUGCUAUCACUUAUAGAUGGACCUGCGCCGUAUUAGCUAGUUGGUAAGGUAACGGCUUACCAAGGCAACGAUACGUAGCCGACCUGAGAGGGUGAUCGGCCACACUGGAACUGAGACACGGUCCAGACUCCUACGGGAGGCAGCAGUAGGGAAUCUUCCGCAAUGGGCGAAAGCCUGACGGAGCAACGCCGCGUGAGUGAUGAAGGUCUUCGGAUCGUAAAACUCUGUUAUUAGGGAAGAACAAACGUGUAAGUAACUGUGCACGUCUUGACGGUACCUAAUCAGAAAGCCACGGCUAACUACGUG